UAUAAUAAGAUGAAUAAGUGGGAGUACCAGGGUUCGAACCCCGAUCCCUGAACAUUGCAUAUUGCAUGCAAUUUUCCUACCAACUGAGUUAUGUUCACCGGGACAGGAUAAUGAUACUUAUUUUGGAACAAAUAUUUUUUUGUUAAAGUGACAAUUAUUUUAAAAGUGAGGGAAAUAGUUGACAUAGUUGUGUUAUCUAUUCUAGUGUGGGACAAACAAAUGGUAGCUAGGUAUAGCGAAAGAGAGUCGUUCCACAAUGUGAGGGGAACCAUAGUUGGAAUCUGUUAGGUGGAGAGGCAUCAUAUUCACA
RNAcentral lists this long non-coding RNA (310 nucleotides) under Trifolium pratense (red clover). Its description in RNAcentral is "long non-coding RNA (TPRA_LNC007775)". Lineage: Eukaryota; Viridiplantae; Streptophyta; Magnoliopsida; Fabales; Fabaceae. The record is from RNAcentral.